GAGCUGCUGGAGUACGAGGGAGCCAAGAAGGGCUCCAAGGACCUCUGCCUCUUCUCUGAGCUCGUUCUUAGGCCCCUCUGCCGUCUGCACGCUCCUUUCCAGCCACCCGGCCUCCCGAUGCCGGCCUAGCACGUUCCUCGCGCCAGGCUUUUGCAUCUGCCCUUCCCACUGUCUUUCGUGUGCAAACGCCACAGGUCCUGCGCACCGCACCCCUCAUGGAAUAGCGUCGCCUCCUCUCUACCUUCACACACGCCCCGAAACUUGCCUCUCAUCCUGUGUCUCUAUAGAUUUUUGCACCAUCUGACCGACGAACCCCUACCCUUCCCUAGACCAUGUCACGAUUCCGUCGCAUCCUCUGCCAUUGUCCCUCGGAAUAUU
Molecule: long non-coding RNA, 378 nt
Filed under: Homo sapiens (human)
Lineage: Eukaryota; Metazoa; Chordata; Mammalia; Primates; Hominidae
Description: non-protein coding lnc-FSCN1-1:4
Source: RNAcentral